This 253-nucleotide ribosomal RNA is filed under the name uncultured bacterium. Its description in RNAcentral is "partial 16S ribosomal RNA". It matches the Rfam family "Bacterial small subunit ribosomal RNA", at positions 524 to 776 of the family's 1533-position model. The record is from RNAcentral.
UACGGGGGGGGCAAGCGUUGUUCGGAAUUACUGGGCGUAAAGGGCUCGUAGGCGGCCAACUAAGUCGGAUGUGAAAUCCCCAGGCUUAACCUGGGAACUGCAUCCGAUACUGGAUGGCUUGAAUCCGGGAGAGGGAUGCAGAAUUCCAGGUGUAGCGGUGAAAUGCGUAGAUAUCUGGAGGAACACCGGUGGCGAAGGCGGCGUUCUGGACUGUAACUGACACUGAGGAACGAAAGCCAGGGGAGCAAACGGG